This 253-nucleotide ribosomal RNA is filed under the name uncultured bacterium. RNAcentral's name for it is "partial 16S ribosomal RNA". It matches the Rfam family "Bacterial small subunit ribosomal RNA", at positions 524 to 776 of the family's 1533-position model. The record is from RNAcentral.
UACGUAGGGGGCAAGCGUUAUCCGGAUUUACUGGGUGUAAAGGGGGCGCAGACGGCGAUGCAAGCCAGGAGUGAAAUCUAUGGGCUUAACCCAUAAACUGCUUUUGAAACUGCAGGGCUUGAGUGAAGUAGAGGUAGGCGGAAUUCCCGGUGUAGCGGUGAAAUGCGUAGAGAUCGGGAGGAACACCAGUGGCGAAGGCGGCCUACUGGGCUUUAACUGACGCUGAGGCACGAAAGCGUGGGUAGCAAACAGG